AGAGACAAAGCAUGGAGGACACAAGAACGGGAGGAAAGGCGGACUCUCAGGAACUUCAUUCUUCACGUGGUUUAUGGUGAUUGCAUUGCUGGGCGUCUGGACGUCUGUAGCUGUCGUUUGGUUUGAUCUUGUUGACUAUGAGGAAGUUCUAGGAAAACUAGGAAUCUAUGAUGCUGAUGGUGAUGGAGAUUUUGAUGUGGAUGAUGCCAAAGUUUUAUUAGGCAAGUACACAUUUUAUGUUUUUUGUUAGUGGUGAUAAAACGCUGGAAACAAUUAUUUUUGCUUUAAUAAUAUCUAUCUCAAUAGUAUAUAUCUUACAGGAGACUUUUCUCCCUUAAAUCAUAUAUUUCAUUACUGUUAAAAUUUUAAAUGGCUUAUUUUUCCACACUCUUUCAUGUCAAUUUACUUUUAUCAAUGAAUAAGUGUAUAUCUCUUACACAUAUCUUUUGAUAAGUAUAAUAAUUUCAUGUGUAUUUCCAGAUUUAAAGUACUUCUUAUUCUGAACUUAGAAUUUGAAUAGAUAAUAUCCUAGUCUGUUUUUAGAUAUGGUAAUUAUAGCCAUUUUUCAUUAAUAUUACACAUUCACUUCCAUUUCAAAAUGUAAAUUUCUACAGGCUUACAUAAAUUAAUGAUGAAAUAAAAUUGAUAAUAAACAUCUUAAAA
This 663-nucleotide small RNA is filed under the name Pan troglodytes (chimpanzee). RNAcentral describes it as "retained intron". The record is from RNAcentral. Lineage: Eukaryota; Metazoa; Chordata; Mammalia; Primates; Hominidae.